RNAcentral lists this ribosomal RNA (428 nucleotides) under uncultured prokaryote. Its description in RNAcentral is "bacterial SSU rRNA". It matches the Rfam family "Bacterial small subunit ribosomal RNA", at positions 355 to 774 of the family's 1533-position model. The record is from RNAcentral.
UGGGGAAUUGUUCGCAAUGGGCGCAAGCCUGACGACGCAAUGCCGCGUGGAGGAUGAAGAUCUUCGGGUCGUAAACUCCUGUCGAGCGGGACGAAUGGCCCGGGACCUAAUACGUUCCGGGAGUGACGGUACCGCUAAAGGAAGCCCCGGCUAACUCCGUGCCAGCAGCCGCGGUAAUACGGGGGGGGCAAGCGUUGUUCGGAAUUACUGGGCGUAAAGGGCGCGUAGGCGGCCCUCUAAGUCGGACGUGAAAUCCCUCGGCUCAACCGGGGAACUGCGUCCGAUACUGGAGGGCUUGGAUCCGGGAGAGGGAUGCGGAAUUCCAGGUGUAGCGGUGAAAUGCGUAGAUAUCUGGAGGAACACCGGUGGCGAAGGCGGCAUCCUGGACCGGCAUCGACGCUGAGGCGCGAAAGCCAGGGGAGCAAACG